Molecule: ribosomal RNA, 165 nt
Filed under: Veronica arguta
Lineage: Eukaryota; Viridiplantae; Streptophyta; Magnoliopsida; Lamiales; Plantaginaceae
Description: 5.8S ribosomal RNA
Rfam family: 5.8S ribosomal RNA
About the family: 5.8S ribosomal RNA (5.8S rRNA) is a component of the large subunit of the eukaryotic ribosome. It is transcribed by RNA polymerase I as part of the 45S precursor that also contains 18S and 28S rRNA.
Source: RNAcentral
UCCGAACGACUCUGGGCAACGGAUAUCUCGGCUCUCGCAUCGAUGAAGAACGUAGCGAAAUGCGAUACUUGGUGUGAAUUGCAGAAUCCCGUGAACCAUCGAGUCUUUGAACGCAAGUUGCGCCCGAAGCCUUCUGGCCGAGGGCACGCCUGCCUGGGCGUCCCG